UUGGUUAAGUUAGAAAGGGCGCACGGUGGAUGCCUUGGCACUAGGAGCCGAAGAAGGACGGGACUAACACCGAUAUGCUUUGGGGAGCUGUACGUAAGCGUUGAUCCAGAGAUUUCCGAAUGGGGGAACCCACUAUCUUUAGUCGGAUAGUAUCCUUACGUGAAUACAUAGCGUAAGGAAGGCAGACCCAGGGAACUGAAACAUCUAAGUACCUGGAGGAAGAGAAAGAAAAAUCGAUUUCCUGAGUAGCGGCGAGCGAAACGGAAAGAGCCCAAACCAAGAAGCUUGCUUCUUGGGGUUGUAGGACACUCUAUACGGAGUUACAAAAGAAAGUUAUAAAUGAAGCGGUCUGGAAAGGCCCGCCAAAGACGGUAACAGCCCGGUAGUUGAAAUGGCUUUCCCUCCAGAGUGGAUCCUGAGUACGGCGGAACACGUGAAAUUCCGUCGGAAUCCGGGAGGACCAUCUCCCAAGGCUAAAUACUCCCUAGUGACCGAUAGUGAACCAGUACCGUGAGGGAAAGGUGAAAAGCACCCCGGAAGGGGAGUGAAACAGUUCCUGAAACCGUGUGCCUACAAGUAGUUAGAGCCCGUUAAUGGGUGAUAGCGUGCCUUUUGUAGAAUGAACCGGCGAGUUACGAUUUGUUGCAAGGUUAAGCGGAAAAAGCGGAGCCGUAGCGAAAGCGAGUCUGAAUAGGGCGCAUAAGUAACAGGUCGUAGACCCGAAACCAGGUGAUCUACCCAUGUCCAG
This 748-nucleotide ribosomal RNA is filed under the name Listeria monocytogenes. RNAcentral describes it as "partial 23S ribosomal RNA". It matches the Rfam family "Bacterial large subunit ribosomal RNA", at positions 1 to 743 of the family's 2925-position model. Lineage: Bacteria; Bacillati; Bacillota; Bacilli; Caryophanales; Listeriaceae. The record is from RNAcentral.